GACGAACGCUGGCGGCGUGCUUAACACAUGCAAGUCGAACGAAGUGGCGAACGGGUGAGUAACGCGUAAUCAACCUGCCCAUCAGAGGGGGACAACAGUUGGAACCGACUCCUAAUACCCCAUACUGAAGGAGGGGAUUGCGUCUGAUUAGCUAGUUGGAGGGGUAACGGCCCACCAAGGCGAUGAUCAGUAGGCGGUCGGGGAGGAAGGACGGCCACAAUGGGACUGGAACACGGCCCAGACUCCUACGGGGGGCAGCAGUGGGGAAUCUUCCGAAAUGGACGGAAGUCUGACGGAGGAACGCCGCGGGAGUGGUGACGGCCGUCGGGUUGGAAAGCUCUGUUAAUCGGGACGCGGUACCGGAAUAGAAAGCCACGGCUAACUACGUGCCAGCAGCCGCGGUAAUUC
RNAcentral lists this ribosomal RNA (408 nucleotides) under uncultured bacterium. RNAcentral describes it as "partial 16S ribosomal RNA". It matches the Rfam family "Bacterial small subunit ribosomal RNA", at positions 28 to 526 of the family's 1533-position model. The record is from RNAcentral.